RNAcentral lists this ribosomal RNA (497 nucleotides) under uncultured bacterium. Its description in RNAcentral is "partial 16S ribosomal RNA". It matches the Rfam family "Bacterial small subunit ribosomal RNA", at positions 28 to 507 of the family's 1533-position model. The record is from RNAcentral.
GAUGAACGCUGGCGGCGUGCCUAAUACAUGCAAGACGAGCGAACGGACGAGAAGCUUGCUUCUCUAAUGUUAGCGGCGGACGGGUGAGUAACACGUGGAUAACCUACCUAUAAGACUGGGAUAACUUCGGGAAGCCGUAGCUAAUACCGGAUAAUAUUUUGAACCGCAUGGUUCAAAAGUGAAAGACGGUCUUGCUGUCACUUAUAGAUGGAUCCGCGCUGCAUUAGCUAGUUGGUAAGGUAACGGCUUACCAAGGCAACGAUGCAUAGCCGACCUGAGAGGGUGAUCGGCCACACUGGAACUGAGACACGGUCCAGACUCCUACGGGAGGCAGCAGUAGGGAAUCUUCCGCAAUGGGCGAAAGCCUGACGGAGCAACGCCGCGUGAGUGAUGAAGGUCUUCGGAUCGUAAAACUCUGUUAUUAGGGAAGAACAUAUGUGUAAGUAACUGUGCACAUCUUGACGGUACCUAAUCAGAAAGCCACGGCUAACUACGUG